CCGUAUCGGCGGCUUUCCUGCACAGUAUUUGGAUUUUGCUCCUCACAUGAUCGGAUCUAGGCGAAUAGCGGCGUGUCAGCAUGUGGAUAACAGACGCGCAACUCUGACUCCCGUAGAGAGCCUAUGCAGGAACUCUAGGACAGCAUUCACCAGCUUCGGAGUGAAGCUCUGCUGCUAGCACAGAUGUCGCCAUAGUCUCGAGGCACUAUCUGGCAAGGCGAGAGGCUCUGCUUGUAGCACAGUCGCUACCAUAGUCCCGAUGCCCUUUCUGGGUAGGUAAGCAACCAACUAUCCUGCACUGUUUUUUUUUAGUUUGUAAUGCAUGUAUUGUGAAAUUGGGCUUGGUGCCUAGCUAG
Molecule: long non-coding RNA, 356 nt
Organism: Ixodes scapularis (black-legged tick)
Lineage: Eukaryota; Metazoa; Arthropoda; Arachnida; Ixodida; Ixodidae
Exons: 3
Source: RefSeq, a predicted model, not a curated record